GGUCAAGUUAAAAAGAGCACUAGGUGAAUGCCUAGGCACCAAGAGGCGAAGAAGGACGUGACAAGCUGCGAAAAGCUACGGUAAGGAGCAAAUAUCUUAUGACCCGUAGAUAUCCCAAUGGGGAAACCCACCUCAAUAGAGGUAUCCUAUAGCCAAUUCAUAACUAUAGGAAGCGAACCAGGUGAACUGAAACAUCUAAGUAACCUGAGGAAAAGAAAGAAAACUCGAUUCCCUAAGUAGCGGCGAGCGAACGGGGAAGAGCCCGAAAGUGAAGACGGGGAAAAUAUCUAGCCGAAUAAUCUGGGAAGAGUAACCAAAGAAGGUAACAGUCCUGUAGGCGAAAGAGAAGAUACCUAUCACGAAAGAGUACCACGGAACACGAGAAAUUCUGUGGG
RNAcentral lists this ribosomal RNA (395 nucleotides) under Peptoniphilus ovalis. RNAcentral's name for it is "Peptoniphilus sp. MSJ-1 partial 23S ribosomal RNA". It matches the Rfam family "Bacterial large subunit ribosomal RNA", at positions 1 to 440 of the family's 2925-position model. The record is from RNAcentral. Lineage: Bacteria; Bacillati; Bacillota; Tissierellia; Tissierellales; Peptoniphilaceae.